This 1347-nucleotide ribosomal RNA is filed under the name uncultured bacterium. RNAcentral describes it as "bacterial SSU rRNA". It matches the Rfam family "Bacterial small subunit ribosomal RNA", at positions 28 to 1381 of the family's 1533-position model. The record is from RNAcentral.
GACGAACGCUGGCGGCGUACUUAACACAUGCAAGUCGAACGAUGAAGCCUAGCUUGCUAGGUGGAUUAGUGGCGAACGGGUGAGUAAUACGUGAGUAACCUACCUUUAACUCUGGGAUAAGCCUGGGAAACUGGGUCUAAUACCGGAUACGACCAAUCUCCGCAUGGGGUGUUGGUGGAAAGCGUUAUGUAGUGGUUAUAGAUGGGCUCACGGCCUAUCAGCUUGUUGGUGAGGUAACGGCUCACCAAGGCGACGACGGGUAGCCGGCCUGAGAGGGUGACCGGCCACACUGGGACUGAGACACGGCCCAGACUCCUACGGGAGGCAGCAGUGGGGAAUAUUGCACAAUGGGCGCAAGCCUGAUGCAGCGACGCCGCGUGAGGGAUGACGGCCUUCGGGUUGUAAACCUCUGUUAGCAGGGAAGAAGAGAAAUUGACGGUACCUGCAGAGAAAGCGCCGGCUAACUACGUGCCAGCAGCCGCGGUAAUACGUAGGGCGCGAGCGUUGUCCGGAAUUAUUGGGCGUAAAGAGCUUGUAGGCGGUUUGUCGCGUCUGCUGUGAAGGCCGGGGCUUAACCCCGUGUAUUGCAGUGGGUACGGGCAGACUAGAGUGCAGUAGGGGAGACUGGAACUCCUGGUGUAGCGGUGGAAUGCGCAGAUAUCAGGAAGAACACCGAUGGCGAAGGCAGGUCUCUGGGCUGUAACUGACGCUGAGAAGCGAAAGCAUGGGGAGCGAACAGGAUUAGAUACCCUGGUAGUCCAUGCCGUAAACGUUGGGCACUAGGUGUGGGGGACAUUCCACGUUUUCCGCGCCGUAGCUAACGCAUUAAGUGCCCCGCCUGGGGAGUACGGCCGCAAGGCUAAAACUCAAAGAAAUUGACGGGGGCCCGCACAAGCGGCGGAGCAUGCGGAUUAAUUCGAUGCAACGCGAAGAACCUUACCAAGGCUUGACAUAUACUGGACCGCAUCAGAGAUGGUGUUUCCCUUCGGGGCUGGUAUACAGGUGGUGCAUGGUUGUCGUCAGCUCGUGUCGUGAGAUGUUGGGUUAAGUCCCGCAACGAGCGCAACCCUCGUUCUAUGCUGCCAGCACGUUAUGGUGGGGACUCAUAGGAGACUGCCGGGGUCAACUCGGAGGAAGGUGGGGAUGACGUCAAAUCAUCAUGCCCCUUAUGUCUUGGGCUUCACGCAUGCUACAAUGGCCGGUACAGAGGGUUGCGAUACUGUGAGGUGGAGCUAAUCCCUAAAAGCCGGUCUCAGUUCGGAUUGGGGUCUGCAACUCGACCCCAUGAAGUCGGAGUCGCUAGUAAUCGCAGAUCAGCAACGCUGCGGUGAAUACGUUCCCGGGCCU